Molecule: ribosomal RNA, 760 nt
Filed under: uncultured bacterium
Lineage: Bacteria
Description: bacterial SSU rRNA
Rfam family: Bacterial small subunit ribosomal RNA
Source: RNAcentral
GAGUUUGAUCCUGACUCAGAGCGAACGCUGGCGGCGUGCUUAACACAUGCAAGUCGAGUGCGCAGUCUGCUGUAGCAAUACAGCAGGCCGGCGCACGGCGCACGGGUGCGUAACACGUGGGUAACCUGCCCUCUAAAGGGGGAUAACCCGCCGAAAGGCGGGCUAAUACCGCAUAACAUUCCGGUGACUUCGGUCGCCGGAAUCAAAGCUCGUAAGGGCGUUGGAGGAGGGGCCCGCGGCCGAUUAGCUUGUUGGCGAGGUAACGGCUCACCAAGGCUUUGAUCGGUAGCCGGUCUGAGAGGAUGGCCGGCCACACUGGAACUGAGACACGGUCCAGACUCCUACGGGAGGCAGCAGUGGGGAAUCUUGCGCAAUGGGCGAAAGCCUGACGCAGCGACGCCGCGUGGGGGAUGAAGCUUCUCGGAGUGUAAACCCCUUUCGACCCGGACGAAACGCCCGCAAGGGCCUGACGGUACGGGUAUAAGAAGCCCCGGCUAACUACGUGCCAGCAGCCGCGGUAAGACGUAGGGGGCCAGCGUUGCUCGGAAUUACUGGGCGUAAAGGGUUCGUAGGCGGUGCGGUAAGUCGGAAGUGAAAUCUCUGGGCUUAACCCAGAGGCUGCUUUCGAAACUGCCGUGCUAGAGUGCGGGAGAGGCGAGUGGAAUUACAGGUGUAGCGGUGAAAUGCGUAGAUAUCUGUAGGAACACCCGUGGCGAAGGCGGCUCGCUGGACCGCAACUGACGCUGAGGAACGAAAGCUA